CACAUAAUAUACGUGUGUUGGAAAGGAAAUAUAUGAGUGAAAAGCACUACCGAAUGAUCGAACGAGUCUUCCACACGCUGCCCUGCCAACUACAUUUUUAUGCUAAUCUGGUAAUGGUUAACUGAUGUAAUGUUUAAUUUCUUUAGUCGUCUGUGAUACAUUGCACCAUUCGGGCAUUGCGGCUCAUCCUGCUUUGGGUGCUGCAGGUGUGUAGGCGUUGCUUGCCUUGGUGAAGGUCCUAUGUAGCUGAAGGUGAGAUAGUGAAUAGUCGAAGCCGAUCCAGGGUACGUUUCAACACUCCAAAGCAUGGCUCGGCCAAGGCUUAGUGAGUUGUGUGCCGCUGUCGUCUCUCCUUAAGGUUAAGGUGGUGGUGGUAGUAGUUCUGGUUCUGUGUAAUUGUAUUAUAGUUUCAGUGGUUGGUAUUUUAUAUUUUGAGGAAAUUCAUAAAGAAUCGCAUAUAUUUAAUGUCCUUGUUUAAUUCUUCACAGUUCUACGAUUCAACAGUCGCUGAUCACGGAGUGAAGUAUCGCUUGAAUAAGGAGAGCUUGUCGCCCUAGCAGCCGUUGAGUGAGGUUUGUGAUGGGGCAGGAAUGUAUCACCACCACCGUUUGGUGCGGAGUCACUCUUUUCCAUUACAAUUUGAUUAAUUUAAUAAAGGUUGUUUUGGGGA
Molecule: long non-coding RNA, 670 nt
Organism: Portunus trituberculatus (swimming crab)
Lineage: Eukaryota; Metazoa; Arthropoda; Malacostraca; Decapoda; Portunidae
Exons: 2
Source: RefSeq, a predicted model, not a curated record